GUCCACACCGUAAACGUUGGGCGCUAGGUGUGGGAUCCAUUCCACGGGUUCCGUGCCGCAGCUAACGCAUUAAGCGCCCCGCCUGGGGGAGUACGGCCGCAAGGCUAAAACUCAAAGGAAUUGACGGGGGCCCGCACAAGCGGCGGAGCAUGCGGAUUAAUUCGAUGCAACGCGAAGAACCUUACCUGGGUUUGACAUACGCCGGAAACACCUAGAGAUAGGUGCCCUUUUUGUCGGUGUACAGGUGGUGCAUGGCUGUCGU
This 262-nucleotide ribosomal RNA is filed under the name uncultured bacterium. Its description in RNAcentral is "partial 16S ribosomal RNA". It matches the Rfam family "Bacterial small subunit ribosomal RNA", at positions 793 to 1055 of the family's 1533-position model. The record is from RNAcentral.